Molecule: long non-coding RNA, 346 nt
Filed under: Gossypium raimondii (Peruvian cotton)
Lineage: Eukaryota; Viridiplantae; Streptophyta; Magnoliopsida; Malvales; Malvaceae
Description: long non-coding RNA (GRAI_LNC006445)
Source: RNAcentral
GAAGGGUCAGAACCGUUGGGCAGUGAAACAGGGGAAGGUUUAAUGAAUAAACUGUACUAAUUGGCUUGGUUAAAAAUUCUGAAAUUUUUAUGGUGAAAUGGUAUAUGAGUCUAGUUUCAGGGAAAAUUUACGGAACUCAAUUUGGAGCCCUGUAGCUCCAGAUAAAAAUAAAUUAGCGACUAUGACGCAGAAAAACAGUUUGCUGGAAAUUGCCUAAACAAUAAAGUUAUUCAUGAAUAAGUUUAUAUUUUGGUGUAGUUAUGGGAGUAAUUACUUAUUUAUCAUGUGUUUACUUACUAAGCUAUAUGCUUACUCGAUUUUAUUUUUCUCUUGGUUAUAGUGACUU